AUGAGCGUAGCCAGAUGGGAUGACUUGACAAAGUCACAAACGCUGACGAAUCCCGGCGGGGGAGUUGUGGCUUCCUCCAAAGGAAGCUCCCUGUCCUUCCCCCUCGAUGGGGGCUUAGGGGCCCAGCUCACCACUCACGCUCCCACAACGUCCAGCGUCCAUGCCUGCAGCCUGUUUCCUGGGAAUUUCAGUCCAUGUGGAGCGAGAGGCCAGGUCUCCUGCUCUGAGCCCAGGAGGGCACGUCCUCCGCCAGCUCUCAGCACUGGCUCUGCUUCCUGUUUACUUCUGCAAGUAGCCGGGAUUGUGGGGUCUGCAGCCAGCCCUGUGGUCCGAAGCCAGCCAGGCUCGAGGGGUUAUCAUCCUAUCAGCCGAGAUAGGCUGACGGGCUCUGCCAUCCGUCAACUGUCUUCUGAUGUAAUUGAAAGUUCUCUGUCCUGGAAUGUCAUCUUAUUAGGUGGAUCAGGCCUUGACGUGUUAACCGGAGAGUUGCUGCAGGGCUCAGCUAGUUAUUUUAUUUUUUCAAAAUUAAGAGGCGUAUAGUCUUUUAAAACUCUCAGAACAAGUUCUUAUGAAAAUUUUCCAAAAAAUCAUCAGACCAUAAAGAAAAAAGUAAUGAUCACCCAAAACCACAUCACUCCGAAAUAAUAUUUUGGUAACAUUUCAUUAAACAUCUGUCUAUGCAAAUUAUAUCCAGAGAGAUUCAUGUGUAUGUAUGUUUCGAAAAUGGAAUCAGAUCUCCCAUGCUGCUGUUGACCUGCUUUUCUAUUUGACGCCACAAUAUGGCAGGGAUGUGUCCCCAUGUCAAUAAAUACAGAUUUACACCAUCUAUAAACAGUUGUAUAGCAUUCUCCAGGUGUGGCAUUUAGACUUUUUCUUUUCAUUUUCUUUCUUUUUUUUUUUUUUUGCUGUGAUAUGUUAUAAACAACACCACAAUGAACAUGUUUUGCACAUUUGUGUAAAUAUUUCCUUGGGAUCAACGCCUAGAGUCAGGAUAACUGGAGCAUGGGGCAUUCACAUGCACGGUGACCAUCUGAGCAAACUACACACAGGGAAGUGCCAAUUUUCCUCCCACAAACAACCUACACUGGGUUCCAGUUCUCAGCCCUGCAUCACACUGAGCGCCCAAUUCUUUCAUUUAGCUGCUUCCAACAGUAGAAAGUAGCAUCUCAUUGUUGCUCUUUGGUCUUUAAAAAAUUACAUUGUACGUAUGUAUCAGGCAUUUAUGCACCUGUGAACUAGCCCAGCUACUUAAAAUUAGAUCCUCAUGCUGCAAGAGCUGUAAUGGUCAACAGAUCCAACCCCACUCCCAAACCUCCAUCCACCCACCAUCCACAUACUUGGAUCAUCUCAACUGUUUCUCUCCAAAGAGCUAGCCUUGCCUCUGGUCUGUUUGAACACUCCCAUCCACGGGAGCUCAUCACUGUCUGAGAUGGUCCACUGUGUUCCCAGCUCUAAUUUAUUAACCUAUAAAAGCCAGUAUAUAUGGAAUAACCACGCUGGGCCAGGAACGACAGGAAGCCCUUUGCUGAACAGUGUCUCCAGCCUCAAACAGUGCUGAAAACAUGUAUCACUCUUUCCUUCUUUGUUCCAUCAGGGUCACCAGAUGCAGGGGGGUUAAGUAACUUGCCAAGGUUCACACAGCUCUAAAGGAGCUGAACAAAUAACUGAACAUGAGGAAACCGUGCACAACUUGAAAGGCUCACAGAGGAAACUUUAAGCUGGUUAGAGAUCUGACAAAAAUAAAAUAAUUUCUCAAAGUAUAGAUUUCUUUAAAGACUUCCUUUCCUUCAGGCACUUUAUCUUCAGCUGCCCAAGGAUACACAGCAACUGUCAGACACCCAUGGAGUCUGGGCUUUGUGCAAGAGCUGCGCUAGUCUCUGCAGCUACCAGAAAGCAGGAAGGCCUGGCCUCAAACAUGUUCCAGUAGACUCGGGUGUCACUGGCCCGUGUGCUUAUGGCUCACAGAUUACCAGGCCAAAAAAAGCCUAACUUAAUUGAUAGAGGUCUCAGAUUAAUUCAAAGCACUCACCUCUAUUUUUUCCUACUGUAGCUGGUUUCAGAGAUGAGAUUUCCUAGGCACAGAAAUGCCCUUAGGCAAAUCAGAGGCCCAAUUUGCAACAAUCCCACUUGGCCCUCGUAUCCUGAUGUCCUGCCACCUGAAAACAUCAUUCUUGGGGUGUCCCGUCCUCAGGUCUCUUAAGGAAAGGCUCUGGCAUCAGUCAUUCACUUUAGUAUGAAUCAGCCCAACAAUUUAAGUAGUUAGACUCUAUGAUGAACACAUGAAUUUUUUUAAUGGGGCUCAUUUAUUCAUGAGAUGGAUGUCUGUGAUUUGGAGAGGAGGCUUCUCAGCUUCCCCCAAAUGAAUCCUUAAAUUUCAUCUCACCCUCCCUUUCUGUACAACUUACCUUUCUUGAGCACUGAUCUGUCCUUUGGACAAACAGGUAACAAGCUACGGGUUGCUACUCAUCUGAGGAAGGUUAGGCCACAGAAAUGAAAUCUUUCAUUAAGUUUCAAAGCAAAACACACAAAACUCAACC
RNAcentral lists this long non-coding RNA (2537 nucleotides) under Macaca mulatta (Rhesus monkey). RNAcentral's name for it is "lncRNA (ENSMMUG00000060431.1)". The record is from RNAcentral. Lineage: Eukaryota; Metazoa; Chordata; Mammalia; Primates; Cercopithecidae.